UACGGGGGGGGCAAGCGUUGUUCGGAAUUACUGGGCGUAAAGGGCUCGUAGGCGGCCAACUAAGUCAUACGUGAAAUCCCUCGGCUUAACCGGGGAACUGCGUCUGAUACUGGAUGGCUUGAGUUCGGGAGAGGGAUGCGGAAUUCCAGGUGUAGCGGUGAAAUGCGUAGAUAUCUGGAGGAACACCGGUGGCGAAGGCGGCAUCCUGGACCGAUACUGACACUCAGGAGCGAAAGCGUGGGGAGCGAUCCGG
Molecule: ribosomal RNA, 253 nt
Filed under: uncultured bacterium
Lineage: Bacteria
Description: partial 16S ribosomal RNA
Rfam family: Bacterial small subunit ribosomal RNA
Source: RNAcentral